GAUGAACGCUGGCGGCGUGCCUAAUACAUGCAAGUCGAGCGAACGGACGAGAAGCUUGCUUCUCUGAUGUUAGCGGCGGACGGGAGAGUAACACGUGGAUAACCUACCUAUAAGACUGGGAUAACUUCGGGAAACCGGAGCUACUACCGGAUAAUAUUUUGAACCGCAUGGUUCAAAAGUGAAAGACGGUCUUGCUGUCACUUAUAGAUGGAUCCGCGCUGCAUUAGCUAGUUGGUAAGGUAACGGCUUACCAAGGCAACGAUGCAUAGCCGACCUGAGAGGGUGGUCGGCCACACUGGAUGUGAGACACGGUCCAGACUCCUACGGGAGGCAGCAGUAGGGAAUCUUACGCAAUGGGCGAAAGGCUGACGGAGCAACGCCGCGUGAGGGAUGAAGGUGUUCGGAUCGGAAAACUCUGUUAUUAGGGAAGAACAUAUGUGUAAGUAACUGUGCAGAUCUUGACGGUACCUAAUCAGAAAGCCACGGCUAACUACGUG
RNAcentral lists this ribosomal RNA (497 nucleotides) under uncultured bacterium. Its description in RNAcentral is "partial 16S ribosomal RNA". It matches the Rfam family "Bacterial small subunit ribosomal RNA", at positions 28 to 507 of the family's 1533-position model. The record is from RNAcentral.